CUUUAAGGUCACCUUCUGCUAUAGAAAAAUCAAACCCACCCUGGCACAAAAAUUGCAGUGGAAAGUUUAAGCAUAAUAAGCGUUGAUCAGCUUUUAGACUCGGUUUUGGAGACAACACAUCAAGUUGGAAGAUUAUCAGUCUCAGCUGCUACAAAUAUGCCUUACAUGGAAAUGGCUGGCCAGUGUGAGGCCAUUCAAAUGGGGAAGCAGCAGAAGUUGUCGACGUUUAUAGUUUCCCAGCAGAGACAAGAAAGUUUGAUUAGAUUUUCUAAUGAUUGCAACCAGGAAAAGGAAACUCUAUCUGUUGUUCCGCUGGGCACUCCUACGAGUGGAAAUCCAUUCCUUGAAUCAAGUGCUAUUUCACUCAACCAAUCUGUUGGCAAUGGCUCUUCGAUGAUUUGCGCAAUUGAGUAUCAUCCCUAUCCACACUUUCAGCUACCGGCAUCAGGCCCCUACGAUAACUUUUUAAAGGCUGCAGGUUGUUGA
Long non-coding RNA from Pyrus x bretschneideri (Chinese white pear), 486 nucleotides. RefSeq lists it as uncharacterized. NCBI's taxonomy places the organism in Eukaryota, Viridiplantae, Streptophyta, Magnoliopsida, Rosales, Rosaceae. The transcript has 3 exons. The record is from RefSeq and is a predicted model, not a curated record.